UACGGGGGGGGCAAGCGUUGUUCGGAAUUACUGGGCGUAAAGGGCUCGUAGGCGGCCAACUAAGUCGGACGUGAAAUCCCUCGGCUUAACCGGGGAACUGCGUCCGAUACUGGAUGGCUUGAGUUCGGGAGAGGGAUGCGGAAUUCCAGGUGUAGCGGUGAAAUGCGUAGAUAUCUGGAGGAACACCGGUGGCGAAGGCGGCAUCCUGGACCGACACUGACGCUGAGGCACGAAAGCGUGGGGAGCAAACAGG
RNAcentral lists this ribosomal RNA (253 nucleotides) under uncultured bacterium. RNAcentral describes it as "partial 16S ribosomal RNA". It matches the Rfam family "Bacterial small subunit ribosomal RNA", at positions 524 to 776 of the family's 1533-position model. The record is from RNAcentral.